This 253-nucleotide unclassified non-coding RNA is filed under the name Patescibacteria group bacterium. Its description in RNAcentral is "contains 16S-23S intergenic spacer region". It matches the Rfam family "Bacterial small subunit ribosomal RNA", at positions 524 to 776 of the family's 1533-position model. The record is from RNAcentral.
UACAGAGACCUCGAGCGUUAUCCGGAUUCAUUGGGCGUAAAGGGUCCGCAGGCGGCCGGGCAAGUUUCUCGUCAAAUCUCAGGGCUCAACCCUGAGGCUGCGGGGAAAACUGCUUGGCUAGAGGAUGGGAGAGGCACACGGAAUUGCCGGUGUAGUAGUAAAAUGCGUUAAUAUCGGCAAGAACACCAAAGGCGAAGGCAGUGUGCUGGAACAUUCCUGACGCUAAGGGACGAAAGCGUGGGGAGCGAAGCGG